RNAcentral lists this unclassified non-coding RNA (712 nucleotides) under Hevea brasiliensis (rubber tree). The record is from RNAcentral. Lineage: Eukaryota; Viridiplantae; Streptophyta; Magnoliopsida; Malpighiales; Euphorbiaceae.
UUCUUUUCAGCUUGUUAUAAGCUUUUAAUGAUAAAUUCCUUAUAUUGUUGUAUUCUUUUUAAUUUUUGGGUUUCAAUUUUGAUGAUCUUAGCCAUGUAAUGGAUUGUAUAUUGGGGAUAAAGAAUUAGGGUUUUUUUUUUUUUUUUUUUUGUUUUUGGUAAUGGAAAUGGAGAGUACUCGUAGAUCCUUCGAUAGAUCAAGGGAACCGGAGGGAACCGGGCUUGAAGAAGCCUCGAUUGGCCGAAGAUCGAACAAACGUUAAUGCUCGCCCUUUCCCUCAGAGGCCAGCUGCAGUACUGCCACCGCUGUCUUCUACUGCAAGAUUUAGAGCUACUAGCGAUAGAGAAUCAGAGAGCAAUGUUUUGAGCCGUGGCGGCGCGUACCAGCCGCAACCACAGCAAUAUCAGGAGCUCGUGAACCAGUACAAGACAGCUCUCGCGGAACUCACUUUCAAUUCGAAGCCUAUUAUCACUAACUUGACAAUAAUUGCUGGCGAAAAUCUCCAUGCAGCGAAGGCAAUUGCUGCCACUGUUUGCGCUAACAUUCUUGAGGUGAUCCCCAGUUUUGUUUCUAUUUUGGUUAUGGCGCCCGAUUGUUGUUUGAUUUAAUUGUAAAGUAUAGCUCCAAAAGAAGAAUAAAAGUAGUCUUGUAACUACAGAUUAAUGACAACUUCUUGUGUUCCAGCAAACAGUGGCAGCAAUUGCCUUCGCUG